CCUACGGGUGGCUGCAGUGGGGAAUAUUGGACAAUGGGCGAAAGCCUGAUCCAGCCAUGCCGCGUGUGUGAAGAAGGCCUUCGGGUUGUAAAGCACUUUCAGUGGGGAAGAAAGCCUUGGGGCUAAUACCCUCGAGGAAGGACAUCACCCACAGAAGAAGCACCGGCUAACUCCGUGCCAGCAGCCGCGGUAAUACGGAGGGUGCGAGCGUUAAUCGGAAUUACUGGGCGUAAAGCGCGCGUAGGCGGUCUGAUAAGCCGGUUGUGAAAGCCCCGGGCUCAACCUGGGAACGGCAUCCGGAACUGUCAGGCUAGAGGGCAGGAGAGGAAGGUAGAAUUCCCGGUGUAGCAGUGAAAUGCGUAGAGAUCGGGAGGAAUACCAGUGGCGAAGGCGGCCUUCUGGACUGACACUGACGCUGAGGUGCGAAAGCGUGGGUAGCAAACAGGAUUAGAUACCCCAGUAGUC
RNAcentral lists this ribosomal RNA (465 nucleotides) under Vreelandella stevensii. Its description in RNAcentral is "partial 16S ribosomal RNA". It matches the Rfam family "Bacterial small subunit ribosomal RNA", at positions 338 to 795 of the family's 1533-position model. The record is from RNAcentral. Lineage: Bacteria; Pseudomonadati; Pseudomonadota; Gammaproteobacteria; Oceanospirillales; Halomonadaceae.